Long non-coding RNA from Canis lupus familiaris (dog), 1970 nucleotides. RefSeq lists it as uncharacterized. The record is from RefSeq and is a predicted model, not a curated record. The transcript has 4 exons. Lineage: Eukaryota; Metazoa; Chordata; Mammalia; Carnivora; Canidae.
ACCAUACACCCACCACCUAGUCCAGGACCUAAGCCUCACGGCGAGCACACAAUGAGCCUCUGUUGAACACUUGAAUGAAUGUCUACGGUAUCCAAUAUGUCCCCAAAAAGUAUCAUGAGCUUUGUAGUGCAAAGGGCUCUGAACAACUCAAAUGAGAAACACAAACAUGUCCAGUGAUAAGGGCCGGCCUGAAUGACCUCUGAGGUCAUCUGCAAUGCCACGAGCCCUGGAGCCUGUCCUACUCGGGCAAGUAACUUCCCUGAAAGAAUGCUAAACACUUUCUUCCUCGCCUCAGCUCAGCAGCCAUAGUUGAAGUCUUCGGACUGUGCCCAGCACUGUGUGAUCCUCCAGGAGGAGGAGGCUGGAACUUUGGGGAAGGGUGGACGCAUGUGGACAGCUAUGGGAGGAAGGUCGCUGAGGAGAAGGAACAACAUGAGCAAAGCCUCAGAAGGGAUGGCUCUCGUCCAGGCAGUGAAGACAGAAAAGUCUUACAAAAACCGAGGGAUCUGCUGCUAGGAGCUUAUCCACCCUCACCAACCCCAGGACAUCUCUGAGUGCGUCCUAUGUACCCUCCAAAGAGCAAAAUCCAGCAACACAGGGACCUAGCAAAGUCUAGAGGAAAGGAAUGUCUGCCCCAAGCCUUGCCCCAGGGUCAGACGCCUGGAAAAAAUUCCUGGGAUUAUUUGGUGUUGUCUAAGAUGGAUUUGGAGCCACCGGGACUGAUGAGAGAUGUGGCUUUGGAUGGGGGCUGCGGGGACUGGUCUGUGGCAAGCUGAGGACAACUUCAUGUCUCAAAACUUGCCUGAGCUGUUCACCAAUCUGAAUCUGCCUUCCUUCCUCUUCCCUAUUCAUUGAAUUCCUUUAAAACCAUCUCUCCUCCGAAGAUCCCCUGAGCCCCUCAUUCAGAAUUAAUCCACUGUCCCUCAUGCUCCUCCAACAAGAGCUUGUAUCUCGAUUUCCAGAUCCAGGACAUAGAAAAUUCCACAGGAUCCCUGAAUAAAAACCUGACCACUACAGGGUGGCGGCAACCUACAUCCCAAUGCCCUCAGGAAGGAUCUGGGGAGAGACAGGUUGUCUGGGAUGUGGGUGAGGACUCUCAAGGACUCUGCCCAGCCCAUCUGGGAGAAGCCUAGAUGUGCCUAUCACAGAAGAUGGCAGAGGCUUCCUCCCUGCACCCUGCUGACUUCCCCCUGCCCCUGCUCUGAGACUAAGCAACCAUCAGGAGUCUGGAAGUAGAGGGAUCCAACCUCAAGACUCAAAGCCUAGAUGAUUUGUGGAGAAGAAUCAAAUCUGUGGGAGAGAGUGACGGCUCCCAGAGGGAGUGUCAAAGAAAAUUGCCUCUAACCUGAUCUGGGUAAAAGGAAGAAGACUCCUUUCAGAGAAUAUGAAGAACAAGAGACAUGAUGCACUAAGGAAUUGGCACAAGACAUAAAUUUUGUUCCUACAUGGUGAGCCCAUUCAUUUAUUCAGCAAACAUUCGUGUACUCCUACUGUAGUGCAAGACACCUGUACAAGGUACAAAAGUAUACAAAGAAAACAACUCCCCUCAAUGGAAUUAGUGUGGGAAGUGGUACUGGGAAUAAGGCAUAUUCACAGAUUUGGAUAAUAAAAGUUAGUACAGUAGUAUUUGCAAAGUGCUACACAAGUCCAGACCUUUCUUUUCAUUUCUUUGUUUUUUUCUUUCUUUGAUGUACUACAUUUAAUCUGGGUGAUUGGGGCUGAUGUUAUUAGAAAAAAACAGAGGAAUUAGAAAGAGGAGAAAGAAAAUGGGACAGAAAAGAGAAAGGAAACCAAGCCCUCCUUCCUGCUUCCUUCAGCCCGAGUUCUGGGAGAGCAAAGGACCAGUUGUCACAAGAGGUCUCCAAGCAGGUCCAAGCCACCAAGUCACAAUUCAAGGCACGUAUCCUCCUGUAUCAACAAAGCAUAUUUUUGCUGAAUUGCACAAAAUUCUGGCCAUCUGGAGUUUUCUA